Long non-coding RNA from Oncorhynchus keta (chum salmon), 869 nucleotides. RefSeq lists it as uncharacterized. The transcript is spliced from 4 exons. Lineage: Eukaryota; Metazoa; Chordata; Actinopteri; Salmoniformes; Salmonidae. The record is from RefSeq and is a predicted model, not a curated record.
UCAACUCACUAGUAGGAGGUGCUGUAGCUAGAUCAACUCUCUAGUAGGAGGUGCUGUAGCUAGAUCAACUCUCUAGUAGGAGGUGAGGUAGCUAGAUCAACUCUCUAGUAGGAGGUGAUGUAGCUAGAUCAACUCUCUAGUAGGAGGUGCUGUAGCUAGAUCAACUCUCUAGUAGGAGGUGCUGUAGCUAGAUUAACUCUCUAAUAGGAGGUGCUGUAGCUAGAUCAACUCUCUAGUAGGAGGUGAUGUAGCUAGAUCAACUCUCCAGUAGGAGGUUAUGUAGCUAGAUCAACUCUCCAGUAGGAGGUGCUGUAGCUCGAUCAACUCUCCAGGAGGUGAUGUAGCUAGAUCAACUCUCCAGUAGGAGGUGCUGUAGCUAGAUCAACUCUCCAGGAGGUGCUGUAGCUAGAUCAACUCUCCAGUAGGAGGUGAUGUAGCUAGAUCAACUCUCCAGUAGGAGGUGCUGUAGACAGAUCAACUCUCCAGUAGGAGGUGCUGUAGACAGAUCAACUCUCCAGUAGGAGGUGCUGUAGACAGAUCAACUCUCCAGUAGGAGGUGCUGUAAACAGAUCAACUCUCCAGUAGGACGUGCUGUAGACAGAUCAACUCUCCAGUAGGAGGUGCUGUAGACAGAUCAACUCUCCAGUAGGAGGUGCUGUAGACAGAUCAACUCUCCAGUAGGAGGUGCUGUCGCUAGAUCAACUCUCUAGUAGGAGGUGCUGUAGCUAGAUCAACUCUCUAGUAGGAGGUGAUGUAGCUAGAUCAACUCUCCAGUAGGAGGUUAUGUAGCUAGAUCAACUCUCCAGUAGGAGGUGCUGUAGCUCGAUCAACUCUCCAGGAGGUGAUGUAGCUAGAUCAACUCUCCAGUA